This 497-nucleotide ribosomal RNA is filed under the name uncultured bacterium. Its description in RNAcentral is "partial 16S ribosomal RNA". It matches the Rfam family "Bacterial small subunit ribosomal RNA", at positions 28 to 507 of the family's 1533-position model. The record is from RNAcentral.
GAUGAACGCUGGCGGCGUGCCUAAUACAUGCAAGUCGAGCGAACAGAUGAGGAGCUUGCUCCUCUGACGUUAGCGGCGGACGGGUGAGUAACACGUGGAUAACCUACCUAUAAGACUGGGAUAACUUCGGGAAACCGGAGCUAAUACCGGAUAAUAUAUUGAACCGCAUGGUUCAAUAGUCAAAGACGGUUUUGCUGUCACUUAUAGAUGGAUCCGCGCCGCAUUAGCUAGUUGGUAAGGUAACGGCUUACCAAGGCAACGAUGCGUAGCCGACCUGAGAGGGUGAUCGGCCACACUGGAACUGAGACACGGUCCAGACUCCUACGGGAGGCAGCAGUAGGGAAUCUUCCGCAAUGGGCGAAAGCCUGACGGAGCAACGCCGCGUGAGUGAUGAAGGUCUUCGGAUCGUAAAACUCUGUUAUUAGGGAGGAACAAAUGUGUAAGUAACUAUGCACGUCUUGACGGUACCUAAUCAGAAAGCCACGGCUAACUACGUG